Drosophila navojoa is the source of this 162-nucleotide long non-coding RNA. NCBI's taxonomy places the organism in Eukaryota, Metazoa, Arthropoda, Insecta, Diptera, Drosophilidae. The record is from RefSeq and is a predicted model, not a curated record.
GAGAAUCACCAUAGAGCGCAUCAGAGCGUUGUGUUGAGCUGGUGUGUGUUUCUGUGGCGUAUAUCAUAUACCCGACGAAGACUCUAGCGCGCGUCUGAAUUAAGCCUUUAAUCGGUCGUAUGCAAUUAUUAUGGUUUGCUUAUGUAAAUUGUAUAGUUAAAA